GCGCCCGUAGCUCAGCAGGAUAGAGCGGGAGUUUCCUAAACUCUAGGUCGGGGGUUCGAGUCCCUCCGGGCGUA
Molecule: transfer RNA, 74 nt
Filed under: Candidatus Poribacteria bacterium
Lineage: Bacteria; Candidatus Poribacteria
Description: tRNA-Arg
Rfam family: tRNA
About the family: Transfer RNA (tRNA) molecules are approximately 80 nucleotides in length. Their secondary structure includes four short double-helical elements and three loops (D, anti-codon, and T loops). Further hydrogen bonds mediate the characteristic L-shaped molecular structure. tRNAs have two regions of fundamental functional importance: the anti-codon, which is responsible for specific mRNA codon recognition, and the 3' end, to which the tRNAs corresponding amino acid is attached (by aminoacyl-tRNA synthetases). tRNAs cope with the degeneracy of the genetic code in two manners: having more than one tRNA (with a specific anti-codon) for a particular amino acid; and 'wobble' base-pairing, i.e. permitting non-standard base-pairing at the 3rd anti-codon position.
Source: RNAcentral